Molecule: non-coding RNA, 1138 nt
Filed under: Pan troglodytes (chimpanzee)
Lineage: Eukaryota; Metazoa; Chordata; Mammalia; Primates; Hominidae
Source: RNAcentral
AUGGACAUGGCACCCACAUUGGCACCCUCUGGUUUUGUCCCCACAGGAGUCCUGCCUCCCAGCACCCCUCUGUCAUGGUGAUCAAGACGGCUAGGGGGCAGGGAAGGCAAGAAGAGGGAGAAGACUCUGCUGUGACUCAUAGCAAAGUGAGAGCUUCUUCCCUCCUCUCUGCACCCCAAAUACGGCUGCAUUAGAACUAAGCAAGCUAUUGAUACCACACUGACCUAAAAAUAGCAAAUGGCGAAGUCACUGGCCUACGAGGCUGGAGAAUCUUAACACCAGGUGGCCCAGGGCAUACCCAGAGCUUCUGGCAACCGAAAUCUGGAAAAAGUGGUAACAGUUCCAUCUGGUCAAAUGACAAAAGCCUAAAUUUGUAUCAAGUAGUGGCUGAUAACAGUCAAUUUCUACCUAGAAGGCACUACGUUGGAUCUAGGUGUUCAGGGUUCUUUAAGUCAUGCUCUGAAUGAAUAAGCAAUGAUUCCAAAGUAUGUGAAGCUAGCCUCACAGUUUGAAGUCCUUGAAAUCACAUUUUCCAAACAGCUUCAAAUGAAGAACAAGCUCAUACAAACUCAAGAGUGCUUGAUCGAUGAGCAACUCCAGCAAGUGAAGACAUCACAGUCUGGGGCAGUGCACGGCUGACCCCUUUACCUGUUGAACUAGCUGCUUUGGCCCUUGUUUCAAGGGAAAAGGGCUCUAGAGGAAUUGGGGGUUUGGUCCUCUUAAGGUCUGAGGUCUUUGGGUCUCUGGGUUUGGUCAGGCCCUUAGGGACUGUGGGCUUAGGCUGAGCAAGGGUAGCCUUGGGACAUGUCUCAAACUCUGGUGAAGUCAAGAAAGGCCACAGAGUGGAAAAUCCAGAAUCUACAUCCCAUUCGUGCCAGAGCCCUGUUCCAUCCACUCUCUGAGCAGAUGUCCCCCUACGAAGGCCCAAGGGACUCCUGAAAAGCAGGCAUGAAUAGACCACAGAGUUAAACAGUGCAAGGGCAUGCUGUGGACCCACCCACUUUGGGUAAAUCUUUUGACUUCUCUGUGAAUCAGAAAAUCAAUGGGAUAGACUAUGCCUCACAGGGCCACCCUAGGGAUCGAAUAAGAUGACGGAUACCAAAGUGCUUCAUUAACAAUAAAGUGCCAAAAAGAGUUA